RNAcentral lists this ribosomal RNA (562 nucleotides) under uncultured bacterium. Its description in RNAcentral is "partial 16S ribosomal RNA". It matches the Rfam family "Bacterial small subunit ribosomal RNA", at positions 355 to 1376 of the family's 1533-position model. The record is from RNAcentral.
UGGGGAAUAUUGGACAAUGGGCGCAAGCCUGAUCCAGCCAUGCCGCGUGAGUGAUGAAGGCCCUAGGGUUGUAAAGCUCUUUCACCGGUGAAGAUAAUGACGGUAACCGGAGAAGAAGCCCCGGCUAACUUCGUGCCAGCAGCCGCGGUAAUACGAAGGGGGCUAGCGUUGUUCGGAAUUACUGGGCGUAAAGCGCACGUAGGCGGACAUUUAAGUCAGGGGUGAAAUCCCGGGGCUCAACCCCGGAACUGCCUUUGAUACUGGGUGUCUAGAGUUCGAGAGAGGUGAGUGGAAUUCCGAGUGUAGAGGUGAAAUUCGUAGAUAUUCGGAGGAACACCAGUGGCGAAGGCGGCUCACUGGCUCGAUACUGACGCUGAGGUGCGAAAGCGUGGGGAGCAAAACAGGAUUAGAUACCCUGGUAGUCCACGCCGUAAACGAUGGAAGCCAGCUGUCGGCAAGUUUACUUGUCGGUGGCGCAGCUAACGCAUUAAGCUUCCCGCCUGGGGAGUACGGUCGCAAGAUUAAAACUUAAAUGAAUUGACGGGGUCAUAGCUGUUUCCUG